GCGCAGCCUGUGUCCUGGCCUCAGGGCCGCAAGCACAUCAUUUCCCUCCCUGGACCUCAGUUUGCUUCUCUGUGAUGAGAGACCAAGGCGGCCUCCCACCCAGGUUGUUAGGACCACACGAGAGGGAACCGCGGUGACAGUGCCACACCAGACGCCGGGCUCGGCACCGGUGAUCCAAAGAUCCUUGCCCUCGCAAAGCUGAAACCCUAACGUGGGGCGAGGGGGCCGAGGGCGUGGGAACAAGCACUGUGAAUAGGUCAGCUAAACAGGGUAUGAGCGGGCGAUGCCAGUUACGGGGAAAUGAAGCUGAGAGAAGCAUGUGUGUGUGAUGGUGGCGGAGGGACUUACCGUUUUAGGUGGGGUGGUCACGGAGGCCUCCUGAGAAGGUGCCACCUGAUGACAUAAAGGAGGUGCCAGAGCCGGCACGGCAGACGUCUGCGGAGGGCAUUCCAGGCAGACAGUGCGGCCGUGCAAAUGGCUUGAGGCAUGAAGACUAACACAGCAAGGAAGAGGGUGGGCUGCGGCACAGGAUGAGGGCCAGUCAGUCCCCGGCCGCCAGAUGGGUCCUGUAAGAACCGAAGCCAGGUGGUUCAUAGACCUUUCCAGUCCAACGACUUCCCAUCGCUCUGGCCUCGAGUCCAGACUCCUUGCCUGGCCCAGCCCCAGCCCCCUCUCCAGCCUCAGCUCUCUUCAGCCUGCUGGCCUUCGUUCAUGUGGCGUGCCAACCUCAGGUCCUCCGGACUGGCUCUGCUGGUUUCUGGUCUGUCCCUUACCUGGAUGGUGCCCUGGAUGGGGCUCAUCCUUUUUGGGGCCCUCGUUUUCUUCAUCCGUAAAGGGGGGACUUGGACUCCUUGAGUCCGAAAGAUGGUCUUAAGUUUCCACGUCUGGGGCUCUGGGAGCCACGGAGAAGCUGCCCUUCUUUGCUCCGUUCCUGCCCGGUGAGACCACCACGGGCGAGAUGCUCUGCGUUGCCCACUCCCCUCCGUCUUCGCCUGCCGGGGUCUGUUGCAGGUGCUGAGAGCCGGGGGAGGGAGACGUGAUCCCCGGCUCACGGAGGAGAGGGGAGGAGAGUAAAGAUGCAGAUGAACCUGUGUGGCCUGCCCUACUCUGAGCCUCGGUUUCCUGGUCUGUAGGAGGGCACACGUGAUUGCUGAGAGGUCUGGCAACAGAAGGGUCGAGUGGCAAUAAGCUCUCACAAAGCACCUGCCUGGGGCCUGGGUGGGGUGCCCCACGGAGGGGAUGAGAGGCUCAGCCAAGCCCUCGCAGAGCUUGCCCAGCAGGCGCAAGGCAAAUGGGGUGACUUCCAGGCAGGGCACACCCAGGAUCCCGCCCCACGGGGGACAGGGCUCCCGCUACCACUUCCACCAGCACCGGCUGCCCGAGUUCUCCUCGGCCUGCAGAGCCCCGCCCAGGACCUCCCUCUAGGACGCUGCUCCCCAUGCCGGUGAGGAAACUGAGGCACAGAGGGGUAAAGUGACCCAGCCAAGGUCACACAGCUGGUGAGUGGCAGAGCUGGGGUUCAAACCCAGGCAGCCUGGUGCUAUGCGGAUACCCAAACCGUCAGGGUGCUUCUCGACGCCAUAUCCACUCCCAGAGGUGGUCCUGUGGUGUCAUCCAUCAUCUGAAGCCAUAGGGUCAUCCUGGGGUCAAGCCCAGGGAUCGUCACCCUCAGCCCAGUAAGAGAAAGGUCCACAAGUUCAAGAACCACAGUUUCCCAUCCCCCCCUUGCUGCUGACCGGCCAGGAAAACCUCGGGCCACUCCCUUUGCCCCCUUGCCUCAGUUUCCACCUCUGUCAAAUGGAGAAUAGAAAAAGCUCUUCAGCCUUUAUUAGCCCUGGGAUCUGACCCCAACCAUCCCGUAUUUGUUGAGUGACCUUUCUGAGCCAGAAUGCCUCUGGGGCUGCUUCCCUUGUCUGCAAAAUGGAGCUAAUGCUAUCUGUGCUUCUUGAGCUCUGUGGACAGACAGACGGACGGCAGGGAGAGCCCCAUGAGAAGGCCUGGGUGUGGCUGCAGCUGGCCCAGCCUGUGCACCCUCGGCCCAGCCUCUGAAGCUGGGGCCUGACAGCAGCUCAGCUCCUGCCCCAACACGGGGAGGCCAGCCCUCCACUCAUUCAGCAGCCAUUUGUUGAACAUCGACUCCGGCCAGGCCCUGGGCUGGGUACCGG
Molecule: long non-coding RNA, 2165 nt
Filed under: Equus caballus (horse)
Lineage: Eukaryota; Metazoa; Chordata; Mammalia; Perissodactyla; Equidae
Description: lncRNA (ENSECAG00000048187.1)
Source: RNAcentral